CUAGAAGUUACUUGGAGCCUGCCGUGAUCCACAAAUGGCAUGCGUUCCAGGAAUCUGAAUUUGAGCACCUGAGGCAGAGACCAGUCAAAAUUGGUGGUGACAUGAGGGCAGACUCACCAGGCCACUCAGCAAAAUACGGUAGCUACAGUCUGAUGAACCUGGAAAACAACAACAUCAUUGACAUUCAACUUGUGCAGAGCAAUGAGGUUGGCGGGAGUCACAAUAUGGAAAAAGAGGGG
This is a non-coding RNA of Paramisgurnus dabryanus, 239 nucleotides long. The record is from RefSeq and is a predicted model, not a curated record. NCBI's taxonomy places the organism in Eukaryota, Metazoa, Chordata, Actinopteri, Cypriniformes, Cobitidae.